This is a non-coding RNA of Arabidopsis thaliana (thale cress), 113 nucleotides long. The record is from RefSeq. Lineage: Eukaryota; Viridiplantae; Streptophyta; Magnoliopsida; Brassicales; Brassicaceae.
GAGUGAGAGAAGUGAGAUGAAAUCUUUGAUUGGAAAUUUCAUGUAGACGAUGCUAUCACCCCAUAUGACCAAAAGAAAUUCCCAAUUAAAGAUUUCAUCUUACUUCCCUCAUG